UCGGGAAUUUUGCACAAUGGCCGAAAGGCUGAUGCAGCAACGCCGCGUGAGCGAAGAAGGCCUUCGGGUUGUAAAGCUCUGUUGCCUGCGAAGAAGGGCCCUGUCAGGAAAUGGGCGGGGUUUGACGGUAGCAGGCGAGGAAGCCCCGGCAAACUACGUGCCAGCAGCCGCGGUAAUACGUAGGGGGCGAGCGUUGUCCGGAAUUACUGGGCGUAAAGGGCGUGUAGGCGGCCUGUUAAGUCAGGGGUGAAAGACCGGGGCUCAACCCGGGGGGUGCCUCUGAAACUGGAGGGCUUGAGUGCGCUAGAGGGCAGUGGAAUUCCCGGUGUAGCAGUGAAAUGCGUAGAGAUCGGGAGGAACACCAGUGGCGAAGGCGGCUGCCUGGGGAGUCACUGACGCUGAGGCGCGAAAGCUAGGGGAGCAAACAGG
This 429-nucleotide ribosomal RNA is filed under the name bacterium. RNAcentral's name for it is "partial 16S ribosomal RNA". It matches the Rfam family "Bacterial small subunit ribosomal RNA", at positions 355 to 776 of the family's 1533-position model. The record is from RNAcentral.